Molecule: non-coding RNA, 2889 nt
Organism: Podarcis muralis (Common wall lizard)
Lineage: Eukaryota; Metazoa; Chordata; Lepidosauria; Squamata; Lacertidae
Source: RefSeq, a predicted model, not a curated record
UCAACAUGGUUGGCAACUGGAGCUGCGGUAUAAGAUGCAACCUGGCUUUUCCUAUGUAGUUUCGGAUACGUAGCCGACACAGUUGGCAAAGAGAACAUGGAGUGGCUGGUUCCUUCUUGUCAUAACAAGAAUUCUAGAAGCUGGAGAUCAGCAUUACCAUCUUAUUUCUUUCUCACUGGGACAGGUUGUCUCCCCCCUCCUCCCCCUCUCAAUCGAUGAAAAAUCAGGAGAAUGAAAGAGCUGGCAACAUGCAGAUGAACAGAGUUUUCAGAGAAAGGAGGCGUCCCUGACUUGCUGCAUCAUGCAGUGGUGAGCGAUCUGCCCAAGAACCUGUGGAACAAUAAAUACCACCAUAUAGUUUAAAUUACAAAAGCAGAUAUGUUUUAAUUCAUAUAAAAUAAUAAACUGAUGAUCAAUUUUACAUUUAGACAACCCCAAUCCUACAUAAUUCCUAUUUAAAUACAAACCCCAUACUUCAGUUUAAAUAUUAAAUUAAUUAUUUUGUAAAUGUAGAAAAAGAUGAUAAAGUAAAAAAAAAUAUUCACACAAUCCCACCUGAAAAUAGGGAACAGGAUCUGGCCACUUCCUUCACCACCAACCCAUAGGCCACUUUGACCAUGAUCUUGGGUGACCCAGCUUCAAAGGAAAGAAAUGGGAGUGCACUCAGUGUCCGCUCCCAAUUCUUUCCUUUCCUCCUUUGGAGCCAGACUGCAAAAGAAGAUCCCUUCCAAAAGGCGCUUCCAGUCAGCACAACUCCUGUUGGGAUCAGCUGCACUUGGGAGUUCUGGGGUUUGCAAACCCAUUUUUGGCAGAGUUCUCAAGUGAGACAUCCUGAGUGGAAGCAAUCCUAGGGGUUUGCAAUUGGUGCCAAAUGUAAAAGGCACCAAAUGCAAGCCUCACUUGCAAAGGAAGCUAAAUCUAAUUUCUCCCAUCCCUAGCACACAGUUAAUUGAGAACAAGUCUUAUUGAGAUCAAUGGGACUUUCUUGUGAGUUAACAUAUUAGAAUGAAAAUGCAAGUUGACUAGUCAGAAGGCGGCUUGAAAUAUCUAUAAUCCAGUGUUGCUUCCAGAUGGAGAUUGCAACUCUUUGCUCUGCCUUGCAGAAAUGGUGCUUUGUUUUGUAGUUCUGGGAUGCUGCAGAAAGUAAGCAAUUUCAACAGCAAAAUGUAGGGUCCACCUUAAUAUAGGACCCAAAUAUGGUAUUCAUAUGAUGAUAACAAAAAAGUUGCCAGAAGUUAACAUGAGAACUCUGGUGACCACCCAUUGCAUUGAACAGGUCUCUUCUGAGGUACAUGGGUGUCCUGGUACAAUUUAUGAAAGUUAUCCUAAAUCCACCUUUAGUUUAUGCUAGAAAAGCAAUCAGCACUUUAAAAAUCCUAAUCAAUAUGUAUAUCCGACAAUCACAAAACAAGAAGAAAAUGUUGCUCUUCUUGCAACAAAUUAUUAGCGGCUGCUGUUUACAACCACACUGACGCAUCCUCACUGCAGAGAAUUCCUCUCUCUCUUGUGCCAAUUUGUUUUACUGCCAAACUGAGCUGCCGCCCUAAGACUUUGUUAAGAGCUGCUGCACUGGGAAAUGGUAGCAAGCAUAUAAAGUACCUUAUUAACAUCUCUCUAGCAUUUUGAACUUUGGAUAAGGAAAAUAUCCCAGAUGCUAACUUCACAGAUUUUUUAAAAAAUCUGAAUCCAGCAUUGCAGUUGCAGUUCUACAAAUCAUAUUUAUCCUUAUCUAUGCUACAUCUGCUAUCUAAUCCUGUGCCUCUUUUUACAUGUGUUCACUUGUGCUAUGCAGAAAAAUGCCUGUACAUUUCAUUGCCGCAGUGACACAAUUUUAUUUUUCCCAUGAUGCUGGAAAAUAACCCAAGUCCUGCUUUGCACCAAGCAUUCAGGGUAUCUCUGCCCACUACUGUUCACAUCAGGGUAUACAUUGCAACAUUCCAUGGGUGAAAAUGGAAACACACUUCUGUACAUGUUAGCAUCCCUAUUUCUGUUUAAGAGGGUGUUUUGUCUUAAACUGGAUCUAGUUCUUAAAGAACUGUGGAAGGAAAUCAGUGGCCCCCCUGAGGUUAUUGGAGUGCCUAUUUCCAUAAGUUCCAGACCCCAUGAUCAGUGAUUAGGGGUGAUGGGUGUUGACGUCCUGCAACAUCUUAAGGGCCACCCUUAAGGGUUCCUCACCCCUGUUAUUAUCUGUUUGGGUGGUUUGGAAGGAAGUAGUCCACUGGAGUUUUGCAUCUCUGUGUAUACAUAUGUACAAAAGCAUCUCCCUCCCUCCAAGACAGCUAACUUCUAAAGAUUAUUAUGGAAAUGAUAAUGAAACCUGAAGUGCUCUUGAGCACACUAAUAACAUUUUUAAAAGCCACUCUCAAAGGGAAAAAUAGGGUCAUUGGGUUUCCUUCCUGGCUAAGUUGGAGUGUAUGAAACUCAGCAACUUGUCUUGGCUGGUAGUGACUUUUUUUGAUUGAUUCUUCUGCAGACAGACUUGUAGAUUGUAAUAAGACUACUGGUAUACACUAUGUAUAUUUAUUUUAGAGAAUUGUUGCAUGUUUUUCAGUGACCUUCUGCUCUCAUAGCUUUCCCAUUUUUUGUAAUGGAGAUGGGAUUGGGUACCCAGCUGUCUCAAAUAAAAAAUAUACCUUUUAGAAAGGCAGUUGCAAAAAUACUCUUUAUUCAAAAACAAUCUCCCUAUGAUUCUUUUCUCUCUGACUGAAGUGCAAACUACUUCAAGUUAUAUUUAGACUCUGCAUUCCAAGCCAGCUGGUAUCUAAUUUACUGGAGUGUACAGUUCUGUAAUACUGCAGAGAUAAGGCUAAGAAUUAUAACGAACAGUCAAGUACAAAGAAUGAUUUAGAAAUGUAUACAGUACCUAAAUCUCCAUCUCCCCAUGGCAUU